Molecule: ribosomal RNA, 409 nt
Filed under: bacterium
Lineage: Bacteria
Description: partial 16S ribosomal RNA
Rfam family: Bacterial small subunit ribosomal RNA
Source: RNAcentral
UGGGGAAUAUUGCACAAUGGGCGAAAGCCUGAUGCAGCGACGCCGCGUGAGGGAUGACGGCCUUCGGGUUGUAAACCUCUUUCAGUAGGGACGAAGCGCAAGUGACGGUACCUGCAGAAGAAGCACCGGCUAACUACGUGCCAGCAGCCGCGGUAAUACGUAGGGUGCGAGCGUUGUCCGGAAUUACUGGGCGUAAAGAGCUCGUAGGCGGUUGGUCACGUCGUCUGGGAAAUCCUAGGGCUUAACCCUGGACGUGCAGGCGAUACGGGCUGACUUGAGUCCUACAGGGGAGACUGGAAUUUCUGGUGUAGCGGUGGAAUGCACAGAUAUCAGGAAGAACACCGAUGGCGAAGGCAGGUCUCUGGGUAGUAACUGACGCUGAGGAGCGAAAGCAUGGGUAGGGAACAGG